CAGUAGCCGCGGUAAUACGAACCGUGCGAACGUUAUUCGGAAUCACUGGGCUUAAAGCGCGUGUAGGCGGUCCGGCACGUCGAAUGUCGAAAUCCCCCGGCUCAACCGGGGAAGUGGCAUCGAUACGACCGAACUGGAGGGGGGUAGGGGGAGCCGGAACUUCCGGUGUAGCGGUGAAAUGCGUAGAUAUAUGGAGGAACACCGGUGGCGAAAGCGGCUCUCUGGCCUGUAACUGACGCUGAGGCUCGAAAGCGUGGGGAGCGAACAGGAUUAGAUACCCCCGUAGUCCCUGUCUCUUAUA
This 301-nucleotide ribosomal RNA is filed under the name uncultured bacterium. RNAcentral's name for it is "partial 16S ribosomal RNA". It matches the Rfam family "Bacterial small subunit ribosomal RNA", at positions 509 to 808 of the family's 1533-position model. The record is from RNAcentral.